This 76-nucleotide small RNA is filed under the name Flavobacterium sp. 9R. RNAcentral's name for it is "Flavo-1". It matches the Rfam family "Flavo-1 RNA". Lineage: Bacteria; Pseudomonadati; Bacteroidota; Flavobacteriia; Flavobacteriales; Flavobacteriaceae. The record is from RNAcentral.
CUCUAGCCCCGAUGGGAGCGGCAUCCUGUGACUCUGGGGUUCAGAGGCACAGAUAUAGUGGACAGCGGGAACAAUG